GACGAACGCUGGCGGCGUGCUUAACACAUGCAAGUCGAACGGAAAGGCCUGCUUUCCCUUGUGGAUUGCGGGUACUCGAGUGGCGAACGGGUGAGUAACACGUGAGUGAUCUGCCCCCAACUUGGGUAUAAGCCUGGGAAACUGGGUCUAAUUCCCGAUAGGACUGCAGGGUGGUGCCUGUGGUGGAAAACGAUUUUCUAGUGGUUGGGGAUGAGCUCGCGGCCUAUCAGCUUGUUGGUGGGGUAAUGGCCUACCAAGGCGGCGACGGGUAGCCGGCCUGAGAGGGUGGACGGCCACAUUGGGACUGAGCUACGGCCCAGACUCCUACGGGAGGCAGCAGUGGGGAAUAUUGCACAAUGGGCGGAAGCCUGAUGCAGCGACGCCGCGUGGGGGAUGUCGGCCUUCGGGUUGUAAACUCCUUUCGACCGCGAGGAAGCCACCUGGUUGGAAGGGUGGUGACGGUAGUGGUAGAAGAAGCACCGGCUAACUACGUG
RNAcentral lists this ribosomal RNA (494 nucleotides) under uncultured bacterium. RNAcentral's name for it is "partial 16S ribosomal RNA". It matches the Rfam family "Bacterial small subunit ribosomal RNA", at positions 28 to 507 of the family's 1533-position model. The record is from RNAcentral.